ACUCCUACGGGAGGCAGCAGUGGGGGAAUAUUGCACAAUGGGCGCAAGCCUGAUGCAGCCAUGCCGCGUGUGUGAAGAAGGCCUUCGGGUUGUAAAGACACUUUCAGCGAGGAGGAAAGGGUGGUAGGUUAAUACCUGCAUCUGUGACGUUACUCGCAGAAGAAGCACCGGCUAACUCCGUGCCAGCAGCCGCGGUAAUACGGAGGGGUGCGAGCGUUAAUCGGAAUUACUGGGGCGUAAAGCGCGCGUAGGCGGCUAAGUCAGUCAGAUGUGAAAGCCCCGGGCUCAACCUGGGAACUGCACCUGAUACUGCUUAGCUAGAGUUUGGUAGAGGGGUGUGGAAUUUCCUGUGUAGCGGUGGAAUGCGUAGAUAUAGGAAGAAACACCAGUGGCGAAGGCGACACCCUGGACCAAAACUGACGCUGA
Molecule: ribosomal RNA, 426 nt
Filed under: uncultured bacterium
Lineage: Bacteria
Description: bacterial SSU rRNA
Rfam family: Bacterial small subunit ribosomal RNA
Source: RNAcentral